AGAGUACGCGCCGCUAGAGGUUGCCAACUUAAGUACGGCACGAAGAGGGAAGUCAGUGAGAGUCUGACGCUGCCCCCGCAACGGUAUUUAAAGUAAAGCUUUGUCAUAACGCCACUGUGGGUAUCCAUGGGAAGGCGACAAAGUGAGUCGUAGCUGCUUUAUCAGUCCGGAGACCUGCCUUUAGACCUAGGGGGCU
This 196-nucleotide non-coding RNA is filed under the name Marinomonas aquimarina. The record is from RNAcentral. Lineage: Bacteria; Pseudomonadati; Pseudomonadota; Gammaproteobacteria; Oceanospirillales; Oceanospirillaceae.